CAAAAUGUAGCUUAACCAAAGCAUCUGGCUUACACCCAGAAGAUUUUAUUUAUAUAAACAUUUUGA
RNAcentral lists this transfer RNA (66 nucleotides) under Glis glis (Fat dormouse). RNAcentral's name for it is "tRNA-Val". It matches the Rfam family "tRNA". Rfam says of the family: Transfer RNA (tRNA) molecules are approximately 80 nucleotides in length. Lineage: Eukaryota; Metazoa; Chordata; Mammalia; Rodentia; Gliridae. The record is from RNAcentral.